GCUUGUCUCAAAGAUUAAGCCAUGCAUGUCUUAGUGUAAAUAACUCUUAUGAAACUGCGAAUGGCUCAUUAAAUCAGUUAUCAAAUACGUGAUGGUCGCCUACUACAUGGAUAACCGUAGUAAUUCUAGAGCUAAUACAUGCACAAAGGCCCACUCACGUGGGUUGUGAUUAUUAGAUUCAAACCGGCCUCGUUCUGGUGAUUCAUAAUAAUUGGUCGAACCGCAUGCCCUUGUGGUGGCGGUGAUUCAUCCUUAUUUCUGCCCUAUCAACUUUCGAUGGUACGGUAUUGGCCUACCAUGGUUACCACGGGUAACGGGGAAUUAGGGUUCGGUUCCGGAGAGGGGGCCUGAGAAAUGGCCACCACAUCCAAGGAAGGCAGCAGG
Molecule: ribosomal RNA, 384 nt
Filed under: uncultured Cryptomonas
Lineage: Eukaryota; Cryptophyceae; Cryptomonadales; Cryptomonadaceae
Description: partial small subunit ribosomal RNA
Rfam family: Eukaryotic small subunit ribosomal RNA
Source: RNAcentral